GGGGGGUGCGAGCGUUGUCCGGAAUCACUGGGCGUAAAGGGCGCGUAGGUGGCGUGAUAAGGGUGUGGUGAAAGCCCGGGGCUCAACCCCGGGUCGGCCAUGCCGACUGUCAGGCUGGAGUGCUGUAGGGGCAGGCGGAAUUCCGGGUGUAGCGGUGGAAUGCGUAGAGAUCCGGAGGAAGACCGGUGGCGAAGGCGGCCUGCUGGGCAGUUACUGACACUGAUGCGCGACAGCGUGGGGAGCAAACAGGAUUAGAUACCCUGGUAGUCCACGCCGUAAACGAUGGGUACUAGGUGCCUGGGGGAGCGACCCCCUGGGUGCCGGCGCUAACGCAGGAAGUACCCCGCCUGGGGAGUACGGCCGCAAGGCUG
Molecule: ribosomal RNA, 371 nt
Filed under: uncultured bacterium
Lineage: Bacteria
Description: bacterial SSU rRNA
Rfam family: Bacterial small subunit ribosomal RNA
Source: RNAcentral